Molecule: ribosomal RNA, 443 nt
Filed under: uncultured soil bacterium
Lineage: Bacteria
Description: bacterial SSU rRNA
Rfam family: Bacterial small subunit ribosomal RNA
Source: RNAcentral
AGAACGAACGCUGGCGGCAUGCCUAAUACAUGCAAGUCGAACGAACACUUCGGUGUUAGUGGCGCACGGGUGCGUAACGCGUGGGAAUCUGCCCUUGGGUUCGGAAUAACAGUUGGAAACGACUGCUAAUACCGGAUGAUAUCGAAAGAUCAAAGAUUUAUCGCCCAGGGAUGAGCCCGCGUAGGAUUAGCUAGUUGGUGAGGUAAAGGCUCACCAAGGCGACGAUCCUUAGCUGGUCUGAGAGGAUGAUCAGCCACACUGGGACUGAGACACGGCCCAGACUCCUACGGGAGGCAGCAGUAGGGAAUAUUGGACAAUGGGCGCAAGCCUGAUCCAGCAAUGCCGCGUGAGUGAUGAAGGCCUUAGGGUUGUAAAGCUACUUUUACCCGAGUAUGAUAAUGACUAGUAUACGGAAGAAGUAACGCCCCGGACUAACCGUCCGU